UACGGUGAUGGCCUCGACAUGCUUCUCUGCCAAAUCUCUCUUUGUUUUAGAACCUUGUUAAUUCUUGAACAUUAUAUUGCCUAAUUACACACAACACGCCUAAACAACCAGCCAAAUAGCACAUAAAUCUAUUCCAUAAGCAGCUAAAUAACACAAAAACACCUAAACCAACCAAUCUAAGAUACACCAAAAACAAGAACCCAACACAAACAGAACAUCAUAGAUACAAAAUUGGGAGAAAAAUUGCACCCAAUAUAAUAUUAGUUGAAAAAGUCAUAGUUAAAUAGCCAGGCAACAAAAACAAUGUCUUCUAACUUGAAUCAAUUUUGCAAAUUAAAUUUUCUCAGACAUCUAAAAUGUAAGCAUACCUUAAUAACGACGGUUUGAGUUGUGACAGCACAACGCGAACGUUGUGACGAGCACGGUGACAAACGAGUAUGAAUUGUGAAAGAUUAAUUGAUGCGUAUAUGGUGGAGAGAAGAUAAUUUAUGGGUUAUGGGUUACGGAUUCGAUUGCAGAAUUCGAUUGCAGGAAGAUGAGUUCGAUUCUUAGGGUUUGAAGGAAUUCGAUUGAAGAAGAUGAUUUUGUUACCUUUGGAUAUUAGAGUUUAUAGAUGAGAUCGUGUGCUCAAGAUUUUUGUGGAAGAACUGAUUUNNN
Molecule: long non-coding RNA, 657 nt
Filed under: Trifolium pratense (red clover)
Lineage: Eukaryota; Viridiplantae; Streptophyta; Magnoliopsida; Fabales; Fabaceae
Description: long non-coding RNA (TPRA_LNC001826)
Source: RNAcentral